AUGGCUGUCGUCAGCUCGUGUCGUGAGAUGUUUGGUUAAGUCCAGCAACGAGCGCAACCCCUUUCCUUAGUUGCCAGCACAUUAUGGUGGGGACUCUAAGGAUACUGCCUGGGAUAACCAGGAGAAAGGUGGGGAUGAUGUCAAGUCAGUAUGUCCCUUUAUGUCCAGGGCUACACACGUGUUACAAUGGCUAGUACAAAGGGUUGCCAACCCGCGAGGGGGAGCCAAUCCCAAAAAACUAGCCCCAGUUCAGAUUGGAGUCUGCAACUCGACUCUAUGAAGGAGGAAUCGCUAGUAAUCGUGGAUCAGCACGCCACGGUGAAUACGUUCCCGGGUCUUGUACACACCGCCCGUCACGCCAUGGAAGUCAGCAGUACCCAAAGCAGGUCGCCUAACCUUCGGGAGGGAGCCUUUUAAGGUAAGGCUGGUAACUGGGGCGAAGUCGUAACAAGGUAGCCGUACCGGAAGGUGCGGCUGGAUCACCUCCUUUCUAAGGAGUAAUCCUGACUAUUAAAGUUGGGAUACGGUCGAACUCAAAGUUUUGGUCACGCAUACCAUUUAUUUUCGGGCUUGUAGCUCAGGUUGGUUAGAGCGCAUCCCUGAUAAGGAUGAGGUCCGUGGUUCGAGUCCACGCAGGCCCACUUGAGGAAAGCCGCUUUUAAAACCGGGGCUAUAGCUCAGUUGGGAGAGCGCCUGGUUUGCAACCAGGAGGUCGUCGGUUCGAUCCCGGCUAGCUCCACAAAAUUUUUUUUUGCUUUUUGACAAUUUGGAGAUGACGUAGGUAGCCUCGUUAUACGAAGAAAGGACUUUGAUAAAGUUACUAAGGGCGUACGGGGGAUGCCUAGGUACAUGGAGUCGAGGAAGGACGUGGUAAGCUGCGAUAAGCCUCGGGUAAGUGCAAACAACUAUAGAUCCGAGGAUUUCCGAAUGGGGAAACCCGG
This 941-nucleotide small RNA is filed under the name uncultured bacterium. RNAcentral describes it as "bacterial SSU rRNA". The stretch from base 1 to 490 matches the Rfam family "Bacterial small subunit ribosomal RNA", at positions 1045 to 1533 of the family's 1533-position model. The record is from RNAcentral.